UGGAAGCUAUGGGCAAGACCAUCGUGCUGGUGGGCCCUUCGGGCUCGGGGCAGACGGUCAAGGCGGCCAACCAGCUGAUCGUUGCGGCCAACAUCCAG
RNAcentral lists this transfer RNA (98 nucleotides) under compost metagenome. RNAcentral's name for it is "tRNA-Glu". The record is from RNAcentral.